CCGGUGAUUUCAACAUCAUUAAAGAAUAGAUGGCUCCGUCUUCCUAUUGUCACAGGUCACACUGUCCAAUUAGGUGUUUUGGCGUUUCCCUGGUAACUCCUAUCAGUCUCUGGCCAGCACCUGUUGAGAUGACCUUGGUUCCCAUGGGACAAUGGGUGGGUAAACCAUGG
Molecule: non-coding RNA, 170 nt
Organism: Notechis scutatus (mainland tiger snake)
Lineage: Eukaryota; Metazoa; Chordata; Lepidosauria; Squamata; Elapidae
Source: RefSeq, a predicted model, not a curated record